This 393-nucleotide ribosomal RNA is filed under the name uncultured bacterium. RNAcentral describes it as "partial 16S ribosomal RNA". It matches the Rfam family "Bacterial small subunit ribosomal RNA", at positions 523 to 918 of the family's 1533-position model. The record is from RNAcentral.
AUACGGAAGGUCCGGGCGUUAUCCGGAUUUAUUGGGUUUAAAGGGAGCGCAGGCGGAGAUGCAAGCGUGACGUCAAAUUUCGGGGCUCAACCCCGUCUCGCGUCGCGAACUGCGUCCCUUGGUUGCGGGAAGGGGAGGCGGAACUCGGGGUGUAGCGGGGAAAUGCAUAGAUAUCACGAAGAACUCCGAUCGCGAAGGCAGCCUUCCGGCCCGUCAACGACGCUCAUGCUCGAAGGUGCGGGUAUCAAACAGGAUUAGAUACCCUGGUAGUCCGCACAGUAAACGAUGGACACCCGCGGUUUGGCCUGUAUGGCUGAGCCGCCAAGCGAAAGCGUUAAGUGUCCCACCUGGGGAGUACGCCGGCAACGGUGAAACUCAAAGGAAUUGACGAAG